CUACGGGAUGCUCCAGUUUCGAAUAAUUCACAAUGGGCGCAAGCCUGAUGAUGCGACGUUACGUGAAGGAAGAAAGCUUUAAGCUGUAAACUUCUGUCGUUAAGGAACAAAAAAUUAAGUAGUACUUUUUAUAUUGAGUUAACCUAAAAAGGAAGCAGUGGCUAAUUUCGUGCCAGCAGCCGCGGUAAUACGGGAACUGCAAGCGUUGCUCGGUUUUAUUGGGCGUAAAGAGUACGUAGGCUGUUAUAUAUGUUAAUUGUUAAAUUUUAAAGUUAAUCUUUAAAUUUGCUGUUAAAACUAUAUAACUAGAAUUUCAAAGAGGUAAGUGGAAUUUCAAGUGUAGCGGUGAAAUGCGUAGAUAUUUGAAGGAACACCAAUGGCGAAAGCAACUUACUGGGUGAUAAUUGACGCUAAAGUACGAAAGUAUAGGGAGCAAAAGGGAUUAGAUACCCUAGUAGUC
Molecule: ribosomal RNA, 460 nt
Filed under: uncultured bacterium
Lineage: Bacteria
Description: partial 16S ribosomal RNA
Rfam family: Bacterial small subunit ribosomal RNA
Source: RNAcentral